This 1633-nucleotide long non-coding RNA is filed under the name Elaeis guineensis (African oil palm). Its description in RNAcentral is "long non-coding RNA (EGUI_LNC043627)". Lineage: Eukaryota; Viridiplantae; Streptophyta; Magnoliopsida; Arecales; Arecaceae. The record is from RNAcentral.
AUCCAAAAGAGUAAGGCAUGCAAUAAGAGGAGUUUUACAAGUAGAAGGACUCUUCCUCUAUGUACAAAAAUUAAAAUGCCAUCUGAUGGUGCGUGGGAUAAGGGAAUGGGUGUGAAACUAAGAGUCCAAAAUAAGAUGGACUCUUCCAUAAUUCAACGCACAUAUGAAAGGGCAUCCAUUUAUUUUGUGGCAUGUGAGUUCCUUCUCAGAGGACUCUUCCUUCUUUUCCAUGCCCACAUAUCCCAAGGUGCCAUCUAAUGGCGCAAAAACAAAAGGACGUGUGAAAUAUGGUAAGGAAUUUAAGAGGAGUAUAAAAGGACUCCUCUUAACGCCUAAAUUAAAUAGAGCAACAAUUUAUUUUGUGCAUGGGAUUUGGCGUAGAGGAAGGUGAUUUCUUAUAGAACACUUCCACUAAAAUCAGAUAAGGUAUCUCAUGUCUUAAGGAUUGAACCCAAUCUCAUUAGGUCGAGGUAUCAAGCUUAAGGGUUAGCACAAACACCUUUGCACUGAGUCCAAUUGAGAACUUGAGCUAAUUCAUGUGCUAGCAAUUUAAUUAACAUAUUGAAUUUACAAUAAAUCCAAAUAGAUGAGACCAAAAUCAAAUCUCUAUUAUGUGUGACCCAUUGGAUUUCAUAUCUAGCCAGCAGUGGACACAAACUCAUGACCUAAUCCAAUUAGGUCAGCCCAAAGGCAUCAAUUAAUCAAAAUACCUUUUAAUUAAUUUUUGAAUUAAUUUUUUUUAAUUUUUACAAGUCCACAAGUCAAGAUUGACGUCUAGCAACAUGUCAUGACUAAUCAGAAGAUAUAAAAUUUAAUAGAAAUACCAAAAUUAUCCUUCCAUAACGAGUUACCACGCAAUUCAAUCAUUCGAUCACACAACAUCCUAGAUAGACUAUGGGCAUGAAAAUAUAUCAAAUCCAAAUAUCUAUCCAUAUGUAUCUCGAUCUAAUGAUAAUGACUCGAUUGAUGAAUCAGUAAAAUUUUUUUUUACUGUUUAUCUCUGCUCUGGCCAGAGACUCUCAGAGUCAUCAUCCUAUGAGAUCAUAUAAGAUGUUCUCUCCUCUUACAAGGAGUGACCGAUUUCUUGUUGACCACUCUCAACCUCCAUGCACACUUCAUCAUACUUAGAAUAUCCCACAUACAUCUCAAAAUGGCAUACUAGGGAAUAAACCAAAGUAAAAAUCCAUAUACACAAGAUAUCCUGAUGAUCUUAGGUCAAAAGAUCACUUGCACCACUCUCACUGGAGAAUCAUCUGUCGACAUGCUGCAAAGCUCCAUCAGAUGUUCUUCCUGUAGAUCAGUUCAGUGAACUCAUUCUCUAAUGAGUACCUAUAUUUUUGUAUUAGUGUCACCACACAAGUGAUUGUGAGAUCAAUCACCCUCUUCAUGGAGCAUACAUAGGAUGUACCAGUCUUAUCGGUAUUAUCGAUCUCCGACUCAAUGAUCCAAUGACUGAAAAUAUUUUAGAUUGGAGCUAUCAAGAUUUUAGAUCUCACUGGUAUGAUCUCAUCAUGAUCUUAAAAUCAUUACCUUAAUCUAUAGGGUUUAUCAUAAUCAUAAACAUAUGAUGCAUCAAAUGAUAAAACAUAAUACCUCAUAAAUAAAAUAACUAAUAUCAUGCAAAUGAGCAGGA